UGCCGCCGGGCCUGGUGUGUUCCUCCAGCUCGAUCCACACCGUGUUGCCUGACUCCAGCAUCUGCAGUUCUUGCUACCUCUUGUUCAGUCUUGGGAGUUACGGGGCUACAGAGAGGGAGGAGUUAAAUUCACCAUGGGCUCCUGAUCAGGAGCGACAGAAAUGGUGAAGCCGGGGGCCGCCUGACCAGGGGAUGCAGAUUUCCACCACUGGCAAAAAGAAACAAAAGUGUCUGCUAUGACUAGGACCAGACUGCCAUCAUUAUUUGACUGGGAACAGCUUAUAGAGUCAGAGAGACCGGAUGCAGUGCAAUCAUGUGAUCAAAAGGUAGGAACCUGAGGACAUGUGGCUGAAGAUUUAAUGUGAUCAACAUCACGUGACACGAAUUGGAAAACCCAGCAGAUGGAAGGAUCUGUUUCUAGAGACAGUAAAAACUGCAGAUCUGUUUCCAGUUCUUUUGUGAUGUUAUUUUUAACCUGAGGUCUUUUUUGUGGACUGGCCUCCACGUGGCAAUGUUUCCCCAAUGAGCGCAUGUAUUGGAAGCUGGAGUGGGUGACUUCUAUCUGUUAACAUUCCAACUGGGCAUUACCUCUCCAUGCCUUCUCCUCAUGCCAAUACACUCUGCCCAAAACAUUCUGAAGACAUGCUUAAAUAAAGUCAGUGUACAAUAA
This is a long non-coding RNA of Stegostoma tigrinum, 669 nucleotides long. RefSeq lists it as uncharacterized. The record is from RefSeq and is a predicted model, not a curated record. Lineage: Eukaryota; Metazoa; Chordata; Chondrichthyes; Orectolobiformes; Stegostomatidae. The transcript has 2 exons.